Molecule: small RNA, 127 nt
Filed under: Arabidopsis thaliana (thale cress)
Lineage: Eukaryota; Viridiplantae; Streptophyta; Magnoliopsida; Brassicales; Brassicaceae
Description: ATSL020430
Source: RNAcentral
UGAACCGCACAAAAGCUCAUUCGUUCUCUCCUUAAUAUACACUAGAUUUUAACCCGCGGUAUACCGCGAAACAAUUUUUUUUUUUAAAUCAGUAUAUAUAAAAGUUUGCAAAUUAUAUUUAUCUAUA